AAUGAACGCUGGCGGCGCGCCUAAUACAUGCAAGUCGAGCGAGAAGACGUAGCAAUACGUUUGUAAAGCGGCGAACGGGUGAGGAAUACAUGGGUAACCUACCCUAGAGUGGGGAAUAACUAGCCGAAAGGUUAGCUAAUACCGCGUACGCUCCUUGGACUUCGGUUCAGGGAGGAAAGCGAUGCCGAGGGUAUCGCGCUCUUGGAUGGGCUCAUGUUCUAUCAGCUUGUUGGGAGGUAACGGCUCACCAAGGCUUCGACGGGUAGCUGGUCUGAGAGGACGAUCAGCCACACUGGCACUGCGACACGGGCCAGACUCCUACGGGAGGCAGCAGUAAGGAUAUUGCGCAAUGGGCGAAAGCCUGACGCAGCGACGCCGCGUGGGGGAU
Molecule: ribosomal RNA, 388 nt
Filed under: uncultured bacterium
Lineage: Bacteria
Description: bacterial SSU rRNA
Rfam family: Bacterial small subunit ribosomal RNA
Source: RNAcentral